CGAAAGAAACACUUAAAUUUGUUUGAGUGAAAAACGAUUGACGGACCGAAGAGACGUAACUGCGUUAAUGAAAGUCGAGGCGAAAGCACGACAAAGCGAAUUUAAGGAUACGUUCGUGGGGUAGGGGAGCGUUCUGUAAGCCUGCGAAGGUGUACUGUGAGGUCUGCUGGAGGUAUCAGAAGUGCGAAUGCUGACAUAAGUAACGAUAAUGCGGGUGAAAAACCCGCUCGCCGGAAGACCAAGGGUUCCUGUCCAACGUUAAUCGGGGC
This 269-nucleotide ribosomal RNA is filed under the name Proteus mirabilis. Its description in RNAcentral is "partial 23S ribosomal RNA". It matches the Rfam family "Bacterial large subunit ribosomal RNA", at positions 1035 to 1375 of the family's 2925-position model. The record is from RNAcentral. Lineage: Bacteria; Pseudomonadati; Pseudomonadota; Gammaproteobacteria; Enterobacterales; Morganellaceae.